This 113-nucleotide ribosomal RNA is filed under the name Carboxydothermus islandicus. The record is from RNAcentral. Lineage: Bacteria; Bacillati; Bacillota; Clostridia; Thermoanaerobacterales; Thermoanaerobacteraceae.
CGGUGGCAAUAGCGGAGGGGAAACACCCGUUCCCAUUCCGAACACGGCAGUUAAGCCCUCCAGCGCCGAUGGUACUGGGACGUUAGGUCCCGGGAGAGUAGGUCGCUGCCGGA